This 253-nucleotide ribosomal RNA is filed under the name uncultured bacterium. Its description in RNAcentral is "partial 16S ribosomal RNA". It matches the Rfam family "Bacterial small subunit ribosomal RNA", at positions 524 to 776 of the family's 1533-position model. The record is from RNAcentral.
UACAGAGGUCUCAAGCGUUGUCCGGAUUCAUUGGGCGUAAAGGGUGCGUAGGCGGCGCGGUAAGUCGGGUGUGAAAUCUUGGAGCUUAACUCCGAAACUGCAUUCGAUACUGCCGUGCUUGAGGACUGGAGAGGAGACUGGAAUUUACGGUGUAGCGGUGAAAUGCGUAGAUAUCGUAAGGAAGACCAGUGGCGAAGGCGGGUCUCUGGACAGUUCCUGACGCUGAGGCACGAAGGCCAGGGGAGCAAACGGG